CAAGAGCUCCCAUUGUGGAUAUUGCGUGAUGAAAUUUAUGAAGGAGAUAAUUCUGCACAAUGCUGACUCAAUUCCCACGCAGUACUUUGCCGACACAUAUUGCACAGUGUAUUCAUCUGCUCAGAUGGAAGAAAUCGUUGAGGAGUUGGCGAUGGCCUUAUUCCGUCAGUGGGCACAACAUAGAUAGGGAAGUGUACAUUAAGACAGUGUAUGUACGUACAGCUAGCUUUGGUUUCAAUAUAAUUUUGGUUUUGGUUCAUUUUUGGCUGUUGGUUAGUUUUAGGCAUUACACAACUUUGGCAAUUGGCUAAUUUUGGAAUUGGUU
Molecule: long non-coding RNA, 325 nt
Organism: Neltuma alba
Lineage: Eukaryota; Viridiplantae; Streptophyta; Magnoliopsida; Fabales; Fabaceae
Exons: 2
Source: RefSeq, a predicted model, not a curated record